Molecule: long non-coding RNA, 405 nt
Organism: Sinocyclocheilus anshuiensis
Lineage: Eukaryota; Metazoa; Chordata; Actinopteri; Cypriniformes; Cyprinidae
Exons: 4
Source: RefSeq, a predicted model, not a curated record
UCAAUUUUAAUGUAUACCUCUUAGAUAUACCAGAGGCAAAUUGAUGAGAAGAAGACUUGGCUUGAGGCUCGUGAUUUCUGUCAAGUCAUUGGAGGUGACUUGGCAAGCUUCCACUCUCAACGAGAAAUCAACAAGUUACCGUAUAUAAUUGGAGACCCAGCAUGGAUAGGUUUCAGUAUGCUGAAUAGUAAUUCUGGUUUUGUGUGGACUGAUGGAACCCCGUCUGAUUUUGAGAACUGGGGGUUUGGAGAACCAAACAACUACAACGAUCAAGAGCACUGUGCAGAAAGUGGCCUUUAUUAUGGACACAAGUGGAAUGAUUGUGAUUGUGAAUCCUAUAAUAACUGGAUUUGCCAGAUACCAAUAGGCAGAACUCCAAAACCUCCACCAACUACUGGAACACAG